AAGGGGUCAAAUGACAGCACGGUGAAAACAACCAUAGUGAGUGAGGGUUAAGAUAAUCAAUACUACUUUCAUAACUAUAGUAAAUGCGCACUUGUUGGUCCGGACGGUUUGCGUUUAAUUGGGUUGCUGUAAAGCUACAGUAGAGAGAGAAAGGGAAAGAGAAGAGGGAUAGAGAAGAAGCGAGCUUUUGGAGCUCGUUCAGGUGUUUCAAGAAAUCUUGAGAAAAGCUUUGAGUUUUAACCAAACCUGUGUUGUUUUGUUGUGUGAAGUGGAAUUAUUUCUCUUUGCCAUUUCCUCUGGUGUCUUUUGUGGUGUGUCUAUUUUAUGCGGUGCCACAUUUUGGGAUCUGGGUUUCCUGGUCUAGUGUCUGAGCUUUUGAUUUUCCUCUCUUUAUUGGUUUCUUGCAAUUUGUUUGUGACUAAUCUAUGUAGAUGGGGGUUUUUUUUUUUACCAUUUCUUGAAUCCUAGGUCUUGAUUUUCUUUGGGAUUUAGCUUUCUUUCUUGUUCUCCUGUAUCUGGAAAAUGUUAUGAUGGAUUACUGAUUUCAUACAUUUUCAUCUGCAAAUGUUUCCUCUCUUCCUCUCUUUUGUUCUCCCCUGUGAUUUCUCUUCCUCUCUCGUAUUUUGAAUCUCGAAGGUCAAAAUAUAGGGCUUUGGUUUUAAACUGGCUUUAGAUCAGCUAAAGUUGAGCUCUUUUGACCCAGUCUCUGGUCCCUGUGUUUGAAUUUCCUCUUAAAGCUCAGGCUCAGGGGAUUUUCUUUUUGUCAUCCAGGAUUUUUAUUUUUGAAAGCAAAGUCUGAUUUGAGUAUGCUUUUGCCC
This 818-nucleotide long non-coding RNA is filed under the name Panax ginseng (ginseng). RNAcentral's name for it is "long non-coding RNA (PGIN_LNC000881)". Lineage: Eukaryota; Viridiplantae; Streptophyta; Magnoliopsida; Apiales; Araliaceae. The record is from RNAcentral.